This 741-nucleotide long non-coding RNA is filed under the name Gallus gallus (chicken). Its description in RNAcentral is "lncRNA (ENSGALG00010030043.1)". Lineage: Eukaryota; Metazoa; Chordata; Aves; Galliformes; Phasianidae. The record is from RNAcentral.
GGCUCAUCCCAUCUUCCUGUUUAUUUCUGAUGAGAGCAAUGACCGCGUCUGCACGGCGCGUCCCAGCCCUGCGUGCUCACAGCCACAUCCAGCCGGGCCCAGCUGUCCCUCGAGGGGAUGCCACGUAUCCCCCCCAGCCAUUGGGAUCCAUUGGGGUCUGGUUUUCCUCCACUCUGCGUCUCCCCAGCACGAUGGCUGUGCUCAGCCCCAGUGGCUGUGCAAAGCUUCUGUGUGGAACGAGAUUUAAAGCAGCGCAGCAAAGAGGUGAUAGAAAAACCAAACUCUAUUAAAAACCCAUUUUCUGCAGGACCACGAAGCCUUUUGGUGCCGCUGUCCUGGCCCUGCUGGGGCUGCUCGCAGCUGGCUGAGCAGAGGCAGGAAGAAGGCUGUGAGCACUGAGACACAUAGCUGUCCUCAACUCAGCAGGGCUUUCUGCCUUCCCUGAGCUGCCCUGGGUGUUUUGGGGCUAGUGGAGCACAGAAAUGUGUUGAUGCACCCAUGGGAAUGGGGGUCACCUGGGUACUUCUGGGUGCAGCCCAGCAUUCCUGCUGCAUAUCCUUCUCUAACAGAGCACAUUUCUGUGCAGGAGGAGGACAAACUCAGGCACAUCUUUUCUUCCUCCAACAUUAUUUCCUGUUCUUUUAUUAAAGCAAGAUGUUGCUGGCAGAUCUCAUGCUCCCUUCCCUGUUUUUCCAUCAAAUAACUCUGCAGAGGAACAUCUGGAAACAGCCAGUGAAUGGG